Long non-coding RNA from Suricata suricatta (meerkat), 808 nucleotides. RefSeq lists it as uncharacterized. The record is from RefSeq and is a predicted model, not a curated record. The transcript is spliced from 3 exons. NCBI's taxonomy places the organism in Eukaryota, Metazoa, Chordata, Mammalia, Carnivora, Herpestidae.
CACACACACACAGAGCUACAUGGAGGCUGGGUUUAUCUCGAGCCUCAGGUGUACCCCCAGCCACCCCUGCCAUCCAGGUGGAGGAAAGGACAGCAUGGGCUGCAAGCUCUCAGGUCACCAGGAAGUCAGGCUCCCAACUGUAGCAGUGGGGAUCGGAAGGCACCCCUAGGGAGGGGAAUUGGACAUACAGCUCCACAGGGAGCCUGCCUCUAAGUCCUUCUCCGUCAGCAUCAGCAGGAGAGCAGCAGGGGUGAGCCUACGACAGAAGACACAGAGGUGCAAGAUACAGGGAGAGACACGUGGAGACAGGAGAGACACAUGGAGCCUCAGAGACGUGGAAAGAUGACAAGGCACAGAGACAGAGAAGAGAGUCAGAGACCAAGCGAGACCAUUAAGAUGGAGAUUCAGAGACAGCCAAACAGAAAUGGGCAGAGAUGGACAUGCCGGUGCAGGGCUUGGCCAGGGAUGGGGCCCAUGGAAAGGAGCAGCAGCUAGCCCAUGGGACAAUGGGAGGUGGAAGGCAACUUUAUGGAAGAGAGACGAUUAUUGUCCCCGUUUCCCAGAUGAGGUAACUGAGGUCUCAUCAUGUGCUCAGCCCACAGCCAUCCCACCCCCUGCCUGCACCUUCUCCAGACAGAGGGGCUGACCUACCAUUUCCACAAGCAGAGCACAAGGGCCCAAGUUGGAAGAGGUGGCUCAAGACCACACCUGCCCAGCAACAGCCCCCGAGCCAGCCCCCCAAACCGGAGAGCAAGAAGCCAGCGGUGGUGCUUCGUGACACAAACAUGCAUUCGUUUUAUUCACAAAA